GCUAGUAUAGCUUAACUAAAGCAUGGCAUUGAAAAUGCUAAGAUAAAUAUUAAUAAAUUUUGCAAGCA
This 68-nucleotide transfer RNA is filed under the name Batrachoseps attenuatus (California slender salamander). RNAcentral's name for it is "tRNA-Phe". It matches the Rfam family "tRNA". From Rfam's summary of the family: Transfer RNA (tRNA) molecules are approximately 80 nucleotides in length. Lineage: Eukaryota; Metazoa; Chordata; Amphibia; Caudata; Plethodontidae. The record is from RNAcentral.